RNAcentral lists this long non-coding RNA (280 nucleotides) under Mytilus galloprovincialis (Mediterranean mussel). Lineage: Eukaryota; Metazoa; Mollusca; Bivalvia; Mytilida; Mytilidae. The record is from RNAcentral.
CUUUUCGUUUACUGAUAACAGCUUACCCUGUACUCUAAAUUUUCGUACAGUAUUAAUUUUGUAACCACAUUACGUGUAUUUAUUUGUUUAUUUAAAUGAAUACUUCAAAUGAGAGGAACGCCUUUCAAUAGCCGGAUGGAUAGAUAUCACAAGGAGUAUACUAGUUCUGAGGAGAAACCUCGGGAUUGGUUAGAAUGAGGAAGCCAUAAUUUGUAUAAAAGAAGACCACUGUAGUAUAAUCAUAGUAAACAUUUUCUGGUAGAUAUUGUUAAACAAUCAG